CAGGGAAGAGAGAACUCCUGAUCUUAAUCCUGAAAAAGGAGCAGGAAUUUUCCAAGUAGACAAGGAGCGGAAGGGCAUUCCAAGCAGAGAAACAUCAUGAGUAAGGAGACAAAGGCCUGACGAAGAGAGGUGCCCCUGAGGAGUUGCAGAAGGGACACAUCAAGAGGAGAGCUUGAAGUGCGCAUUCCUGAGGGCUGAGGUCGUCAUUGUUUUCAGCACAGUGCAACUGCUGACGUGCACGAAGAAGACCAGCACAUCAAGAGGUGAAACUGGGUUUGCCUCAGGCACCCCAAAAGACUGGAAGGUGAUGCUUGGCCCUUCUAAGAAUGUAAGCUCCAAGAGAAUGAUGAAAAAUUUUGUCUGGUUUUCCCAUCAAUUUAUCCCCAAACUCAGUGCCUGGCAUUUAGUAGGCACUCAAUAAAACUUUGAAGAAUGAAUGAAGAGUUUAGCAAAGGUCUUAAGAUUUA
RNAcentral lists this long non-coding RNA (467 nucleotides) under Equus caballus (horse). RNAcentral describes it as "lncRNA (ENSECAG00000047473.1)". Lineage: Eukaryota; Metazoa; Chordata; Mammalia; Perissodactyla; Equidae. The record is from RNAcentral.